CCUACGGGUGGCAGCAGUGGGGAAUAUUGCACAAUGGGGGAAACCCUGAUGCAGCGACGCCGCGUGAGUGAAGAAGUAUUUCGGUAUGUAAAGCUCUAUCAGCAGGGAAGAAAAUGACGGUACCUGACUAAGAAGCCCCGGCUAACUACGUGCCAGCAGCCGCGGUAAUACGUAGGGGGCAAGCGUUAUCCGGAUUUACUGGGUGUAAAGGGAGCGUAGACGGUGCAGCAAGUCUGAUGUGAAAGGUCAGGGCUCAACCCCAGGACUGCAUUGGAAACUGUUGAACUGGAGUACAGGAGAGGUAAGCGGAAUUCCUGGUGUAGCGGUAAAAUGCGUAGAUAUUAAGAGGAACACCAGUGGCGAAGGCGACUUACUAGACUGUAACUGACGUUGAGGCGCGAAAGCGUGGGGAGCAAACAGGAUUAGAUACCCUAGUAGUC
Molecule: ribosomal RNA, 440 nt
Filed under: uncultured bacterium
Lineage: Bacteria
Description: partial 16S ribosomal RNA
Rfam family: Bacterial small subunit ribosomal RNA
Source: RNAcentral